UUUGAUGCUGUCUUUCAGAAUCACUAUCGGUGUUCCCUGAGGAGCGUCAGCCUUGCUAAUUGGGUCAGGCAAGUCCAUCCCGUCCUGAGAGCCCCAGGUCCCACUUUGACCUCUGAAGUGAUGAACAGAUCCUCCUCUUCUCAGAGACCUCCUCUCCAAGCCUGCCUGGCUCUUAGAUGAUGGUGAUGUUUAUCUCCCUG
This 200-nucleotide long non-coding RNA is filed under the name Papio anubis (olive baboon). Its description in RNAcentral is "lncRNA (ENSPANG00000043832.1)". The record is from RNAcentral. Lineage: Eukaryota; Metazoa; Chordata; Mammalia; Primates; Cercopithecidae.